Molecule: long non-coding RNA, 1735 nt
Organism: Marmota monax (woodchuck)
Lineage: Eukaryota; Metazoa; Chordata; Mammalia; Rodentia; Sciuridae
Exons: 4
Source: RefSeq, a predicted model, not a curated record
UCUCCAGCUCAAUCUCGGCGUCCAUCUCAGCGUCCUCCUGCGCCUCCUUGUUGCUGUCGUCCAGGUGUUUCAUGAGCACGGCCACCACCACGUUGAUGAGCACGAACUGCGCGGUGAGCACGAAGCUGACGAAGUACAGCGGCGACACGAACUGCAGGCUGCUCAGGCAGCUGUGCUCCUCCUGCGUGCAGUCCCGCAGCGUGUCCUGCGGGCGGGAGCCGUGAGGUGACAGCCAGGAGUCCGACCCCCCCCAGGUCCUCACGGCCCCCACCCCACCUGGCUUGUGGUGGCAUCUGCCGGCCGCGGCUUCAGCUGGGUCCCUAGUGGCCCUGCCACCUCCCUGCUCACUCCACCCACUUCACCCCCUGCUUCCCAGGGCCACCAUCAGGCCCAACCAGGACAUCCAGGGGUCUUCUAGGGGGUCUGUCCCUGCCGUCUGGCUCUUAGGUCACCUCAACCCCCAACCAACAAAGCAGGGGAGGUUUCGCCACCUGCCGGGACCCCUGUGAGGGGGCUGCUCCUCCCGCCUCCUCCCAGCCGCCCUGAUGUCCCUCUCACUUGCUGGGGUCAUUCUAGAGAGGCCCAUGUGGGAUGCGGAAAGGGACACUCGGCUGCCAGUCUCCACCCCAGGAGGCCAAGGCCUCACCUCUGUCAGCGGGUGACAAACGGUGCCUCCCCAUGUUCCACCCUCCUGCCGGGCUCUUGCAGAGGUCCGUCCCCUAGAGAACGGCACUACCUGUCCUGGCCUCAGAGCCACCUUGCUGGGCCGCAGGGCCCCAGGCAGGUCCCUCUACUCCUCUCCUGUGUGCAAGAGGACGCUGGGUGUGCAAGAGGACGCUGGGUGUGCAAGAGGGUGCGGUGACUAGCAGGAGUGGCACCUGCACUCAGUUCAGAACACGCCCCCAGCCUCCCUCCCCAGGCCGCCCACAAGCACCUUCAUGAUCCCGUUCCAGUUGUCGCCCGUGGAGACCUGGAAGAGUGUGAGGAAGGCCAUGCCGAAGUUCUCAAAGGUGGCGUGCCGGCUCAUGCCCUCGCAAGGGUUCUCGUCAUUGCAGACUGAAAGCAGAGAGGGGCUCAGCCCGUCCCACAGACAGAGCCCCCUGCACGGCCCAACCUGAGGGGGCCCCCAGCUUCCUCCCAGAUUCCCCACCGUGACCCCCGGUCUGGGAAGACCCUGCUCCUAAGGACUGGGUGAAGUCCUCUGUGGCUCCUCAGGCCAGCGCGGGGCCUCGGAGAGGAACAGACAACCCUCACGGCCCGCAGCCCGUGGGCACAGAACACCAGAGACGCAGCCAGCGUGGUGUCCCAUGGCUCCCGCUGAAGGACACGCCCCAGAUUCCAAACCCUGUUCCAUCGGCCCCGCCUGAGACCGCCUUCACCUGGAGCCACCGAUAAGACAGGAGGAGAGCCUGUCACCCUCCCUCUGUAACCAGGCCGCCAGGAAGCUCACACUAAACUUGAGAAGAGAACCCACUGGCGUCCCCAGCAAGGCCCCCACCUUCCCUGGGCCGUCUUCAUUCUCAUUCUGAGUGUGCUGUGUCUACACCGCUGGUCUUAAGACCCCAAAGGCCCUUGAGACUGGGUUCCUCCUGGAGCGACUCUUACCUGGGGCAGAGCCUGCACCACGGUGUCCAGCAGGGCCCGCAUCCCCGUGGCCAUCUUCAACAGCUUCAGCACUGUGGGUGACACGCAGCCCGCUGGCUCAGCCCAGCCCCAAGGGACUGAGUGUGCACAG